This is a long non-coding RNA of Olea europaea var. sylvestris, 808 nucleotides long. RefSeq lists it as uncharacterized. NCBI's taxonomy places the organism in Eukaryota, Viridiplantae, Streptophyta, Magnoliopsida, Lamiales, Oleaceae. The transcript has 2 exons. The record is from RefSeq and is a predicted model, not a curated record.
AAAUCAAAACUUCCAAAGAGUAGACCUCAUCCCCUCACUCCACCCCCCACAAAAUGACAUCCAAAUGACCAUCUUUAUAAAUAGACUUCCACUAUAUCUUCCUCAUCAACGAUAAAAACCCCUUUGUAGUUUUUCCCCACCCCACGCCCAACCCCUUCAACUCGAAGUCGUCACCUGUCGACCAAAAACUCCAUUCAACAUGGUUUCCCCUUCAAAAUACAGAACCAUAAAAGCUUCAGUGGCGAUAGCAGAUGCUGUUUCAUGGAGCUGUGCCAUAGCUUUGAUUGCCUUUAUUUUAUUGAGCUCCAUAAGAGAUGGCACUGCAAAUGAUCGGGUGCGAGGAAGGCAACUUCAGGACAGACCCUGCGACGAAAUCUAUGUCGUCCAAGAAGGAGAAACCCUUCAUACCAUCAGCGAUAAAUGUGGUGACCCGUAUAUAGUCGAGCGCAAUCCCCAUAUCCAUGAUCCGGAUGAUGUUUUUCCUGGACUUGUUAUAAAGAUUACAUCUUCAAAUCCCAGGUCAAAUUAAGCUGCUGCCGAGGUUUUGACGGACCUUUGUAUUAAUCUUCUCUCGUGGAUGUAAAAAGACUGGGGUAACAGAAAUAUUUCUCGUUCUUGAUAUCUGAUCCAAGAAUUUCCUCUCUCUUUUUUAUUUUUUCACAAGGAGCCAUAGCGUUUGAUUGACUUCACUGUUGGAUAUAGCCUUCUAAUUUUGGUAUUUGAUCGUUGUUCGUCAUUUAUGAUAUAUUCUGAAAGGCGAGGAUGCCCCAAAUGAAAUUAUAAACUGAAAGAGUACUCAUUCGUUCUA